RNAcentral lists this ribosomal RNA (269 nucleotides) under uncultured prokaryote. Its description in RNAcentral is "partial 16S ribosomal RNA". It matches the Rfam family "Bacterial small subunit ribosomal RNA", at positions 524 to 792 of the family's 1533-position model. The record is from RNAcentral.
AACGUAGGAGGCGAGCGUUAUCCGGAUUUACUGGGCGUAAAGCGCGUGCAGGCGGUUUUCUAAGUCGGACGUGAAAGCUCCCGGCUCAACUGGGAGAGGUCGUUCGAAACUAGGAGGCUUGAGGAUGGUAGAGGAGAGUGGAAUUCCCGGUGUAGUGGUGAAAUGCGUAGAUAUCGGGAGGAACACCAGUGGCGAAGGCGGCUCUCUGGGCCAUUCCUGACGCUAAGACGCGAAAGCUAGGGGAGAGAACGGGAUUAGAUACCCUAGUA